GACGAACGCUGGCGGCGUGCUUAACACAUGCAAGUCGAACGGAAAGGCCUGCUUUCCCUUGUGGAUUGCGGGUACUCGAGUGGCGAACGGGUGAGUAACACGUGAGUGAUCUGCCCCCAACUUGGGUAUAAGCCUGGGAAACUGGGUCUAAUUCCCGAUAGGACUGCAGGGUGGUGCCUGUGGUGGAAAACGAUUUUCUAGUGGUUGGGGAUGAGCUCGCGGCCUAUCAGCUUGUCGGUGGGGUAAUGGCCUACCAAGGCGGCGACGGGUAGCCGGCCUGAGAGGGUGGACGGCCACAUUGGGACUGAGAUACGGCCCAGACUCCUACGGGAGGCAGCAGUGGGGAAUAUUGCACAAUGGGCGGAAGCCUGAUGCAGCGACGCCGCGUGGGGGAUGACGGCCUUCGGGUUGUAAACUCCUUUCGACCGCGAGGAAGCCACCUGGUUGGAAGGGUGGUGACGGUAGUGGUAGAAGAAGCACCGGCUAACUACGUG
RNAcentral lists this ribosomal RNA (494 nucleotides) under uncultured bacterium. Its description in RNAcentral is "partial 16S ribosomal RNA". It matches the Rfam family "Bacterial small subunit ribosomal RNA", at positions 28 to 507 of the family's 1533-position model. The record is from RNAcentral.